This 215-nucleotide ribosomal RNA is filed under the name Campeiostachys nutans. Its description in RNAcentral is "Elymus nutans partial small subunit ribosomal RNA". The stretch from base 38 to 215 matches the Rfam family "Eukaryotic small subunit ribosomal RNA", at positions 685 to 864 of the family's 1831-position model. The record is from RNAcentral. Lineage: Eukaryota; Viridiplantae; Streptophyta; Magnoliopsida; Poales; Poaceae.
GGAUCAGAUUGUUGGUCGUGCCUCGGUACGUACUGGCAUUAUUGAUUCCUCCUUCCCGAUGAGCCGUAAUGCCAUUUAUUUGGUGUUUUGGGGAAUUUGGACUGUUACUUUGAAAAAAUUAGAGUGUUUAAAGCAAGCUAACGCUUGAAUACAUUAGCAUGGAAUAAUGAAAUAGGACGUUCGAUCCUAUUUUGUUGGUUUCUAGGAUUGACGUA